Molecule: ribosomal RNA, 497 nt
Filed under: uncultured bacterium
Lineage: Bacteria
Description: partial 16S ribosomal RNA
Rfam family: Bacterial small subunit ribosomal RNA
Source: RNAcentral
GAUGAACGCUGGCGGCGUGCCUAAUACAUGCAAGUCGAGCGAACGGACGAGAAGCUUGCUUCUCUGAUGUUAGCGGCGGACGGGUGAGUAACACGUGUAUAACCUACCUAUAAGACUGGGAUAACUUCGGGAAACCGGCGCUAAUACCGGAUAAUAUUUUGAACCGCAUGGUUCAAAAGUGAAAGACGGUCUUGCUGUCACUUAUAGAUGGAUCCGCGCUGCAUUAGCUAGUUGGUAAGGUAACGGCUUACCAAGGCAACGAGGCAUAGACGACCUGAUAGGGUGGUCGGCGACACUGGAACUGAGACACGGACCAGACUCCUACGAGAGGCAGCGGUAGGGAAUCUUCCGCAAUGGGCGAAAGCCUGACGGAGCAACGCCGCGUGAGUGGUGAAGGUCUUCGGAUCGUAAAACUCUGUUAUUAGGGAAGAACAUAUGUGUAAGUAAAUGUGCACAUCUUGACGGUACCGAAUCAGAAAGCCACGGCUAACUACGUG